RNAcentral lists this ribosomal RNA (645 nucleotides) under Blastocystis sp. RNAcentral describes it as "partial small subunit ribosomal RNA". The record is from RNAcentral. Lineage: Eukaryota; Bigyra; Opalinata; Blastocystidae.
UCCAAUUGUUUAUCGAUACUGUUGUGCAUUGUUCUCAAUCCAAUUGCAAAACUAAAGUUCCCCACUGUGAUUUUUUGUGUCUACCCCCCCGUGUCAGGAGAGUGGAAAUUUCACGCCCGCGGCCCUCCCUGGAUGUGGUAUCCCUCUCUCACGCGCCCCCUCCCAAAACGAAACCCAAUUCUUCUUUUCCCCUUUCUGCCCUGGGGUUCCCAAACACUACCCUCUAAAACUGAGAGGGGGCAAACUUUUAAAAAACAUAUCUACCUAAAAAUGCGAUAUGACAAGGUUUUAUUACUCCCAAACAGACGGAAACUAUUGGUUUUUAUUCUAAUAAAAACACCCCUUCCAAAUCCAGGAAUUGAUCACGUAUUUACUCUAUAAAUACUACGGUUAUCCAAGUAGUAAAUUUUAUCAAAUAAACAAUAAAUGAGAUAAAGAGCCAUUCUCACUUUCUCAGAAAAAAAUUUUUACUUACACAUGCCUGGCGUGAUCUUUGUUAAGAGCGUAUGACUACAGGGGGGGAGAAACAACAUAUUUUCUUUUAUCUUUUUGGGAGGGGAGGGUGGUGUCGGGACCCCCCCCCAAAAUCCACUUCCACCAACAAAAAAAAAAAAUUUAUUUUGGUUAAAAAGAAACAAAAAAAAA